Molecule: RNA transcript, 1045 nt
Organism: Vitis vinifera (wine grape)
Lineage: Eukaryota; Viridiplantae; Streptophyta; Magnoliopsida; Vitales; Vitaceae
Exons: 2
Source: RefSeq, a predicted model, not a curated record
AUGAAGACUUUUGGCUUAAAAGCAACUUUGCUCCUAAUGGCCAUUCUCUUUUUUACAGAUUUUUUGAAUGUUGAAGGCCAGGUUUGUCACCCAAGUGGCAAGAUUAGGUAAGAAACCCCCUCCUGGAGAAUGCAACCAAGGCAAUGACUCUGAUUGCUGUAAAGAAGGAAAGCUUUACACAACAUACAAGUGUUCUCCAACAGUAUCUAGUCAUACCAAGGCAUAUCUUACUCUUAAUGGCUUUGAGAAAGAUGAAGAUGGUGGUGCUCCGUCUGAAUGUGACAAUCAGUACCACUCUGAUGACACACCGGUUGUGGCACUGUCAACUGGAUGGUAUAACAAAGGGAGCAGGUGCUUAAAUAACAUCACUAUUACUGCUAAUGGGAGGAGUGUGGUGGCUAUGGUAGUCGAUGAGUGUGACUCAACUAUGGGAUGUGACAGUGACCAUGAUUAUCAGCCUCCAUGUGCCAACAACAUUGUUGAUGCCUCAAGAGCUGUGUGGGAAGCCUUGGGGGUGCCUCGUGACCAAUGGGGAGGGCUUGAUAUCACUUGGACCGAUGUUUGUCACCCAAGUGGCAAGAUCAGGGGUAAGAAGCCCCCUCCUGGAGAAUGCAACCAAGGCAAUGACUCUGAUUGCUGUAAAGAAGGCAAGCUUUACACAACAUACAAGUGUUCUCCAACAGUAUCUAGUCAUACCAAGGCAUAUCUCACUCUUAACGGCUUUGAAAAAGAUGAAGAUGGUGGUGCUCCAUCUGAAUGUGACAACCAUUACCACUCUGAUGACACCCCGGUUUUGGCACUGUCAACUGGAUGGUAUAACAAAGGGAGCAGGUGCUUAAACAACAUCACUAUAACUGCUAAUGGGAGGAGUGUGGUGGCCAUGGUAGUUGAUGAGUGUGACUCAACCAUGGGAUGUGAUAGCGACCAUGAUUAUCAGCCUCCAUGUGCCAACAACAUUGUUGAUGCCUCAAGAGCUGUGUGGAAAGCCUUGGGGGUGCCUCAAGAUCAAUGGGGAGGGCUAGAUAUCACUUGGACCGAUGCCUAA